Oncorhynchus kisutch (coho salmon) is the source of this 898-nucleotide long non-coding RNA. RefSeq lists it as uncharacterized. The record is from RefSeq and is a predicted model, not a curated record. The transcript has 5 exons. NCBI's taxonomy places the organism in Eukaryota, Metazoa, Chordata, Actinopteri, Salmoniformes, Salmonidae.
UUAAUUUAGUUAGGCCGUGACUGGCCUCCCACACCAGUACAGUAGGUGGCAGUGUGUAUACACCAUAAAAGUUGGAUGCGAUCAGCCAACCCAAUCCCAAAGAAGAAGAAAAAUAAGAAAUAGAAAUAGAAAUUAAUUACCGAAAUCCACAUACAAUUUCCGUUCAUAUCAAUUCCACCCACUAGGGGGCAGUCAAGAUAGCUUUCUGUGUUGAGGGCUUCCGUUUUUCCUGCCCUGUAUUUUUCAUCUGCGGACUCGGGGUUACUGAAAUCAAACGGAAGAGAUCUGUUAAAUGGUCGAGGUUUUGAAUUUGUUUAUUGUUUGAAGACCUUCACAAGAACGCACUAAAAUGGGCAGAAGUAGAAACCGAUCCCCACCAAAACGAGGUCUCUUCGCAGACUACGCUCUUCCCCUGGCUCCCUCCAGGCAGAAGGACAGGCGUGAUGAUGAUCAAAAGGAUUCCAAGGAUAAAUGGUUUAUUUGCUAUGAACUUGGAUGCGUUUCAAAUGGUGAAGUCGGCCAUUUGGAACGUACCCCUUAUAGGAAGACAUGCAGGGCAAGACUAAAGAGGAGAUUGAGAUGAUGAAGAUUAUGGGCUUCGGCAACUUUGACACCACAAAAGGAAGGGAAGACCGAUGGUGCAGUCAAUGCACAUGCUAUCAAUGUGUCCCAGAAGAGGAAAUACAGGCAUGCUGAUGCAUUGUCUUUAGAAACUACAAGAGGCAGUACACAAACAGAAAAGGUGGAUUCAACAGACCUCUGGAUGUCAUUGCUUGAAGUAGGAUAAACAACAGACUCAUUGAUGUUACCUAAAAUGUACUAGCCUUGUGGUCUCUCUUUACUGUGACACUGUGUGUUUUGGUGAUAAAGUAAAAAAUAAAUAAAAAUGUAUAGUCUG